GACGAUGCUCACGUCAGUUUGUUUGAACGGGCUGAUCUUAGAAAGAUCGAUCGCAGAUUCGUUGCUGCGAUUUCAGGGUUUCGAACAAACAGGACGAUAUCGAUGUACAAGCAAACCAUGCGCGCUUCAUAAAUCAUAGAGAGUUCGGUCUGCUUUUCCUGCCUAAUCGUUUUCAUCUACGUGUGUAUCAAAUAUACUUGAGACGUAUCUUUUAGCGAUCGGGAUCAAGUCUCAGGAGCGUCGGCCGUUAAUGACAACAUGAAAUAAUGUCGGCAUAACAUAACUAAAGUAUACUUGAAUAUAUUCCUCAUGAAUAAAUGGUGUCGGAAAGCAAAGGAGAACUAGUACCGAAGCCAAGCAAGUUGAACGAUACGUACGAUUUUUUCGCGCCGCGGUCGAUGAUUUAAAGUUGAA
Varroa destructor (honeybee mite) is the source of this 414-nucleotide long non-coding RNA. The record is from RefSeq and is a predicted model, not a curated record. Lineage: Eukaryota; Metazoa; Arthropoda; Arachnida; Mesostigmata; Varroidae.